RNAcentral lists this ribosomal RNA (253 nucleotides) under uncultured bacterium. Its description in RNAcentral is "partial 16S ribosomal RNA". It matches the Rfam family "Bacterial small subunit ribosomal RNA", at positions 524 to 776 of the family's 1533-position model. The record is from RNAcentral.
UACAGAGGUCUCAAGCGUUGUUCGGAUUCAUUGGGCGUAAAGGGUGCGUAGGCGGCGCGGUGAGUCGGAUGUGAAAUCUCGGAGCUUAACUCCGAAACUGCAUUCGAUACUGCCGUGCUUGAGGACUGGAGAGGAGACUGGAAUUUACGGUGUAGCGGUGAAAUGCGUAGAUAUCGUAAGGAAGACCAGUGGCGAAGGCGGGUCUCUGGACAGUUCCUGACGCUGAGGCACGAAGGUCAGGGGAGCAAACGGG